This 492-nucleotide ribosomal RNA is filed under the name uncultured bacterium. RNAcentral describes it as "partial 16S ribosomal RNA". It matches the Rfam family "Bacterial small subunit ribosomal RNA", at positions 29 to 507 of the family's 1533-position model. The record is from RNAcentral.
AGUGAACGCUGGCGGUAGGCCUAACACAUGCAAGUCGAACGGCAGCACAGUAAGAGCUUGCUCUUACGGGUGGCGAGUGGCGGACGGGUGAGGAAUACAUCGGAAUCUACUUUUUCGUGGGGGAUAACGUAGGGAAACUUACGCUAAUACCGCAUACGACCUACGGGUGAAAGCAGGGGAUCUUCGGACCUUGCGCGAUUGAAUGAGCCGAUGUCGGAUUAGCUAGUUGGCGGGGUAAAGGCCCACCAAGGCGACGAUCCGUAGCUGGUCUGAGAGGAUGAUCAGCCACACUGGAACUGAGACACGGUCCAGACUCCUACGGGAGGCAGCAGUGGGGAAUAUUGGGCAAUGGGCGCAAGCCUGAUCCAGCCAUGCCGCGUGGGUGAAGAAGGCCUUCGGGUUGUAAAGCCCUUUUGUUGGGGAAGAAAAGCAGCAGGUUAAAACCCCGCUGUUUUGACGGUACCCAAAGAAUAAGCCCCGGCUAACUUCGUG